Molecule: ribosomal RNA, 255 nt
Filed under: uncultured bacterium
Lineage: Bacteria
Description: partial 16S ribosomal RNA
Rfam family: Bacterial small subunit ribosomal RNA
Source: RNAcentral
UACGAAGGGGGCGAGCGUUGUUCGGAUUUACUGGGCGUAAAGGGCGCGUAGGCGGCCUGCUAAGUCGAACGUGAAAUCCCCGGGCUCAACCCGGGAACUGCGUCCGAUACUGGUUGGCUUGAAUCCGGGAGAGGGAUGCGGAAUUCCAGGUGUAGCGGUGAAAUGCGUAGAUAUUGGGAGGAACACCAGUGGCGAAGGCGGUCCCCCUGGGCCGGAACUGACGCUGAGGCGGCGAAAGCGUGGGUAGCAAACGGG